AUUGAACGCUGGCGGAAUGCCUUACACAUGCAAGUCGAACGGCAGCACGGACUUCGGUCUGGUGGCGAGUGGCGAACGGGUGAGUAAUGUAUCGGAACGUGCCCAGUCGUGGGGGAUAACGUAGUGAAAAUUACGCUAAUACCGCAUACGAUCUAUGGAUGAAAGCGGGGGAUCGCAAGACCUCGCGCGAUUGGAGCGGCCGAUAUCAGAUUAGGUAGUUGGUGGGGUAAAGGCCCACCAAGCCAACGAUCUGUAGCUGGUCUGAGAGGACGACCAGCCACACUGGAACUGAGACACGGUCCAGACUCCGACGGGAGGCAGCAGUGGGGAAUUUUGGACAAUGGGCGAAAGCCUGAUCCAGCCAUUCCGCGUGCAGGAUGAAGGCCCUCGGGUUGUAAACUGCUUUUGUACAGAACGAAAAGGUUUCUACUAGUACUAGGAGCUCAUGACGGUACUGUAAGAAUAAGCACCGGCUAACUACGUGCCAGCCGCCGCAGUAA
RNAcentral lists this ribosomal RNA (500 nucleotides) under uncultured bacterium. RNAcentral's name for it is "partial 16S ribosomal RNA". It matches the Rfam family "Bacterial small subunit ribosomal RNA", at positions 30 to 523 of the family's 1533-position model. The record is from RNAcentral.